UACGAAGGGGGCUAGCGUUGCUCGGAAUCACUGGGCGUAAAGCGCACGUAGGCGGGUUCUUAAGUCAGGGGUGAAAUCCUGGAGCUCAACUCCAGAACUGCCUUUGAUACUGGGAAUCUCGAGUCCGGGAGAGGUGAGUGGAACUGCGAGUGUAGAGGUGAAAUUCGUAGAUAUUCGCAAGAACACCAGUGGCGAAGGCGGCUCACUGGCCCGGUACUGGCGCUGAGGUGCGAAAGCGUGGGGAGCAAACAGG
Molecule: ribosomal RNA, 253 nt
Filed under: uncultured bacterium
Lineage: Bacteria
Description: partial 16S ribosomal RNA
Rfam family: Bacterial small subunit ribosomal RNA
Source: RNAcentral